Molecule: ribosomal RNA, 215 nt
Filed under: Glomeromycotina sp.
Lineage: Eukaryota; Fungi; Glomeromycota
Description: partial small subunit ribosomal RNA
Rfam family: Eukaryotic small subunit ribosomal RNA (bases 40-215)
Source: RNAcentral
GGGUCAGUAGGUUGGUCGUGCCACCGGUACGUACUGGUCUCACUGAUUCCUCCUUCCUGAAGAACCGUAAUGCCAUUAAUUUGGUGUUGCGGGAAAACAGGACUGUUACUUUGAAAAAUUAGAGUGUUUAAAGCAAGCUAACGCUUGAAUACAUUAGCAUGGAAUAAUGAAAUAGGACGAUCGAUCCUAUUUUGUUGGUUUCUAGGAUUGACGUA